Molecule: ribosomal RNA, 2786 nt
Filed under: Klebsiella pneumoniae
Lineage: Bacteria; Pseudomonadati; Pseudomonadota; Gammaproteobacteria; Enterobacterales; Enterobacteriaceae
Description: bacterial LSU rRNA
Rfam family: Bacterial large subunit ribosomal RNA
Source: RNAcentral
UUAAGCGACUAAGCGUACACGGUGGAUGCCCUGGCAGUCAGAGGCGAUGAAGGACGUGCUAAUCUGCGAAAAGCGUCGGUAAGGUGAUAUGAACCGUUAUAACCGGCGAUGUCCGAAUGGGGAAACCCAGUGCAAUUCGUUGCACUAUCGUUAACUGAAUACAUAGGUUAACGAGGCGAACCGGGGGAACUGAAACAUCUAAGUACCCCGAGGAAAAGAAAUCAACCGAGAUUCCCCCAGUAGCGGCGAGCGAACGGGGAGCAGCCCAGAGUCUGAAUCAGCUUGUGUGUUAGUGGAACGGUCUGGAAAGUCCGACGGUACAGGGUGAUAGUCCCGUACACCAAAAUGCACAGGUUGUGAACUCGAAGAGUAGGGCGGGACACGUGGUAUCCUGUCUGAAUAUGGGGGGACCAUCCUCCAAGGCUAAAUACUCCUGACUGACCGAUAGUGAACCAGUACCGUGAGGGAAAGGCGAAAAGAACCCCGGCGAGGGGAGUGAAAAAGAACCUGAAACCGUGUACGUACAAGCAGUGGGAGCACCUUCGGGUGUGACUGCGUACCUUUUGUAUAAUGGGUCAGCGACUUAUAUUCUGUAGCAAGGUUAACCGUAUAGGGGAGCCGCAGGGAAACCGAGUCUUAACUGGGCGUUAAGUUGCAGGGUAUAGACCCGAAACCCGGUGAUCUAGCCAUGGGCAGGUUGAAGGUUGGGUAACACUAACUGGAGGACCGAACCGACUAAUGUUGAAAAAUUAGCGGAUGACUUGUGGCUGGGGGUGAAAGGCCAAUCAAACCGGGAGAUAGCUGGUUCUCCCCGAAAGCUAUUUAGGUAGCGCCUCGUGAACUCAUCUUCGGGGGUAGAGCACUGUUUCGGCUAGGGGGUCAUCCCGACUUACCAACCCGAUGCAAACUACGAAUACCGAAGAAUGUUAUCACGGGAGACACACGGCGGGUGCUAACGUCCGUCGUGAAGAGGGAAACAACCCAGACCGCCAGCUAAGGUCCCAAAGUCAUGGUUAAGUGGGAAACGAUGUGGGAAGGCACAGACAGCCAGGAUGUUGGCUUAGAAGCAGCCAUCAUUUAAAGAAAGCGUAAUAGCUCACUGGUCGAGUCGGCCUGCGCGGAAGAUGUAACGGGGCUAAACCAUGCACCGAAGCUGCGGCAGCGACACUAUGUGUUGUUGGGUAGGGGAGCGUUCUGUAAGCCUGCGAAGGUGUGCUGUGAGGCAUGCUGGAGGUAUCAGAAGUGCGAAUGCUGACAUAAGUAACGAUAAAGCGGGUGAAAAGCCCGCUCGCCGGAAGACCAAGGGUUCCUGUCCAACGUUAAUCGGGGCAGGGUGAGUCGACCCCUAAGGCGAGGCCGAAAGGCGUAGUCGAUGGGAAACAGGUUAAUAUUCCUGUACUUGGUGUUACUGCGAAGGGGGGACGGAGAAGGCUAUGUUAGCCGGGCGACGGUUGUCCCGGUUUAAGCAUGUAGGCUGGUUAUCCAGGCAAAUCCGGAUAAUCAAGGCUGAGGUGUGAUGACGAGGCACUACGGUGCUGAAGUAACAAAUGCCCUGCUUCCAGGAAAAGCCUCUAAGCAUCAGGUAACAUCAAAUCGUACCCCAAACCGACACAGGUGGUCAGGUAGAGAAUACCAAGGCGCUUGAGAGAACUCGGGUGAAGGAACUAGGCAAAAUGGUGCCGUAACUUCGGGAGAAGGCACGCUGGUGUGUAGGUGAAGUCCCUGCGGAUGGAGCUGAGACCAGUCGAAGAUACCAGCUGGCUGCAACUGUUUAUUAAAAACACAGCACUGUGCAAACACGAAAGUGGACGUAUACGGUGUGACGCCUGCCCGGUGCCGGAAGGUUAAUUGAUGGGGUUAUCCGUAAGGAGAAGCUCUUGAUCGAAGCCCCGGUAAACGGCGGCCGUAACUAUAACGGUCCUAAGGUAGCGAAAUUCCUUGUCGGGUAAGUUCCGACCUGCACGAAUGGCGUAAUGAUGGCCAGGCUGUCUCCACCCGAGACUCAGUGAAAUUGAACUCGCUGUGAAGAUGCAGUGUACCCGCGGCAAGACGGAAAGACCCCGUGAACCUUUACUAUAGCUUGACACUGAACAUUGAGCCUUGAUGUGUAGGAUAGGUGGGAGGCUUUGAAGCGUGGACGCCAGUCUGCGUGGAGCCAACCUUGAAAUACCACCCUUUAAUGUUUGAUGUUCUAACGUUGGCCCCUGACCGGGGUUGCGGACAGUGUCUGGUGGGUAGUUUGACUGGGGCGGUCUCCUCCCAAAGCGUAACGGAGGAGCACGAAGGUUAGCUAAUCCUGGUCGGACAUCAGGAGGUUAGUGCAAUGGCAUAAGCUAGCUUGACUGCGAGCGUGACGGCGCGAGCAGGUGCGAAAGCAGGUCAUAGUGAUCCGGUGGUUCUGAAUGGAAGGGCCAUCGCUCAACGGAUAAAAGGUACUCCGGGGAUAACAGGCUGAUACCGCCCAAGAGUUCAUAUCGACGGCGGUGUUUGGCACCUCGAUGUCGGCUCAUCACAUCCUGGGGCUGAAGUAGGUCCCAAGGGUAUGGCUGUUCGCCAUUUAAAGUGGUACGCGAGCUGGGUUUAGAACGUCGUGAGACAGUUCGGUCCCUAUCUGCCGUGGGCGCUGGAGAAUUGAGGGGGGCUGCUCCUAGUACGAGAGGACCGGAGUGGACGCAUCACUGGUGUUCGGGUUGUCAUGCCAAUGGCACUGCCCGGUAGCUAAAUGCGGAAGAGAUAAGUGCUGAAAGCAUCUAAGCACGAAACUUGCCCCGAGAUGAGUUCUCCCU